Molecule: microRNA precursor, 70 nt
Organism: Gorilla gorilla gorilla (western lowland gorilla)
Lineage: Eukaryota; Metazoa; Chordata; Mammalia; Primates; Hominidae
Source: Ensembl
GAAAGUUGAAGGGACAAGUCAGAUAUGCCAUUAUGUGGGUCAUGAGGUGCUGAGACUUCUCUCCCUUCAG